GGUAGAAGGCUCGCCAGCAACAUCCGAGCUCCUCUCAGAUGGAUAACUGCCUCUCUCUGCCAGACACCUCAACCGAGCUUCGACCGACAGGCCUGGACUCCUUGGCGGGUCACAGUAAUGGCCACGACUCUACUCCACUUCCUGCGGCCACUGUACUGGCCACGACUCUGCUCCACUUCCUGCGAUGGAUUUCGUACGGCUCCACC
RNAcentral lists this long non-coding RNA (206 nucleotides) under Elaeis guineensis (African oil palm). RNAcentral's name for it is "long non-coding RNA (EGUI_LNC082940)". Lineage: Eukaryota; Viridiplantae; Streptophyta; Magnoliopsida; Arecales; Arecaceae. The record is from RNAcentral.